UACGAAGGGGGCUAACGUUGUUCGGAUUUACUGGGCGUAAAGCGCACGUAGGCGGAUCGUUAAGUCGGGGGUGAAAUCCUGGAGCUCAACUCCAGAACUGCCUUCGAUACUGGCGAUCUUGAGUCCGGAAGAGGUGAGUGGAACUCCUAGUGUAGAGGUGGAAUUCGUAGAUAUUAGGAAGAACACCAGUGGCGAAGGCGGCUCACUGGGCCGGUACUGACGCUGAGGUGCGAAAGCGUGGGGAGCAAACAGG
This 253-nucleotide ribosomal RNA is filed under the name uncultured bacterium. RNAcentral describes it as "partial 16S ribosomal RNA". It matches the Rfam family "Bacterial small subunit ribosomal RNA", at positions 524 to 776 of the family's 1533-position model. The record is from RNAcentral.